This 74-nucleotide transfer RNA is filed under the name Verrucomicrobiota bacterium. RNAcentral's name for it is "tRNA-Gln". It matches the Rfam family "tRNA". Rfam says of the family: Transfer RNA (tRNA) molecules are approximately 80 nucleotides in length. Their secondary structure includes four short double-helical elements and three loops (D, anti-codon, and T loops). Lineage: Bacteria; Pseudomonadati; Verrucomicrobiota. RNAcentral also lists the same sequence under 1 other name. The record is from RNAcentral.
UGGCCGAUGGUGUAAAGGUAGCACAGGGGACUUUGACUCCCCUAGUCUAGGUUCGAAUCCUAGUCGGCCAACCA